CCUACGGGAGGCAUCAGUGAGGAAUAUUGGUCAAUGGUCAGGAGACUGAACCAGCCAAGCCGCGUGAGGGAUGAAGGUACAGAGUAUCGUACACCUCUUUUGUCAGGGAACAAAGGCGGGGACGUGUCCGCGGAUGAGUGUACCUGAAGAAAAAGCAUCGGCUAACUGCGUGCCAGCAGCCGCGGUAAUACGGGGGAUGCGAGCGUUAUCCGGCUUUAUUGGGGUUAAGGGGUGAGCAGGCGCUCUGUUAAGGCAGCGGUCAAAGCCCGGGGCUCAACCCCUGCCCGCCGUUGAAACUGGCAGUCUCGAGUUGGAGAGAAGUAUGCUGAAUGCGCGGUGUAGCGGUGAAAUGCAUAGAUAUCGCGCAGAACUCCGAUUGCGAAGGCAGCAUGCCGGCUCCACACUGACGCUGAGGCACGAAAGCGUGGGUAUCGAACAGGAUUAGAUACCCUUGUAGUC
This 459-nucleotide ribosomal RNA is filed under the name uncultured bacterium. RNAcentral's name for it is "partial 16S ribosomal RNA". It matches the Rfam family "Bacterial small subunit ribosomal RNA", at positions 338 to 795 of the family's 1533-position model. The record is from RNAcentral.